ACACUGACGUCGCGACGCAUAUCAAUAAGCGGAGGAAAAGAAACUAACAAGGAUUCCCUUAGUAACGGCGAGUGAAGCGGGAAGAGCUCAAAUUUGAAAUCUUCAAGGUUCUACCUUGACGAAUUGUAGUUUAAAGAAGUGUUUUCUGUUGGAGUUUUGGUAAAAGUUCUUUGGAAUAGGACAUCAUAGAGGGUGAGAAUCCCGUAUUUGGUCAUUCCUUCUAGCUUUGUGAUACACUUUCAAAGAGUCGGAUUGUUUGGGAAUGCAGUCCAAAAUGGGUGGUAAAUUUCAUCUAAAGCUAAAUAUUGGCGAGAGACCGAUAGCGAACAAGUACCGUGAGGGAAAGAUGAAAAGAACUUUGAAAAGAGAGUUAAACAGUACGUGAAAUUGUCAAAAGGGAAGCGUUUGACACCAGUGUUGUUUUCUCGAAAAUCAAUUAAAAAAAGUUGGAUUUUGUGUUGUAUUGACCUUAACAGCUUGCUUCACUCUUUUCCUGCUUUUUUUUAAUGCACUUUUCGUUUAACAAGUCAACAUCAGUUUCUUUUGUUGUAAAAGGGUCAUUGGAAGGUGGCUUUCUCUUCGGAGAAAGUGUUUAUAGCCUUUGAUCUCUGCAAUCGGAGAGACUGAGGUCUGCAGCGUAGAUCCUUCGGGGUUAGAUACACUUGUGCUAAGUUAUAGCUUUUCAUAGACAACUUGUUGACUAUGUUUAGUCAUGUGGACUUACCCGCUGCUGCUAUUUUACCUACGCUUAGGAUGUUGAGUCGUAGAGCACGCAG
Molecule: ribosomal RNA, 776 nt
Filed under: uncultured Neocallimastigales
Lineage: Eukaryota; Fungi; Neocallimastigomycota; Neocallimastigomycetes; Neocallimastigales
Description: partial large subunit ribosomal RNA
Rfam family: Eukaryotic large subunit ribosomal RNA
Source: RNAcentral